This 253-nucleotide ribosomal RNA is filed under the name uncultured bacterium. RNAcentral describes it as "partial 16S ribosomal RNA". It matches the Rfam family "Bacterial small subunit ribosomal RNA", at positions 524 to 776 of the family's 1533-position model. The record is from RNAcentral.
UACGGAGGUUGCAAGCGUAAUUCGGAAUCACUGGGCGUAAAGGGCGCGUAGGCUGCCUCUUAAGUCAGGCGUGAAAGCCCGGGGCUAAACUCCGGAAGUGCGUGUGAAACUAAGAAGCUUGAGUACGGGAGAGGGAAGUGGAAUUCCUGGUGUAGAGGUGAAAUUCGUAGAUAUCAGGAGGAACACCGGUGGCGAAGGCGACUUCCUGGACCGAUACUGACGCUGAGGCGCGAAAGCGUGGGGAGCAAACAGG